GGGGCACGUGGCCGCAGACAGUGCCCGUGCCGGGGCGGGGAGGCGAGUUCUCCCUGCGGCCGCGGACCCUGGAUGGUGGCGUCGCCCGAAGACGCGCCUCACCGGCCUGGGUGGGUCGAGGCCCGCGUCACUGCCCUGUGGGUGCAGACGCCUCCAGUGUCACUCCCCUGGAUUUCGCUUGGGCAGAAGAAGAGAUUGUAGGCCGGACCCCAACGCCGAAGCCCUGAGGCUUCUAAUGUGAGGAAAAACACGGAAUGACAAGUGUGGGAAAGAGCAAGCACUAAAUUACUGUCAGAAAAAUAAACGGAGUAGCACAGUGCUGCUCGGUGAUUUACGGGGGCAAUUAGUCACCACCCCACGGCGCUGCUGAGGACAGCACGGCAGCAGACAAGUCAGGCCCAUGAGGAAGAAGAGGCUUUGCACUGCUCUCCAGACAACUUUUCAAACAACAAGAGAGGAUAUUUGAGCACAU
Molecule: long non-coding RNA, 472 nt
Filed under: Homo sapiens (human)
Lineage: Eukaryota; Metazoa; Chordata; Mammalia; Primates; Hominidae
Description: long intergenic non-protein coding RNA 2609
Source: RNAcentral